AUUGAACGCUGGCGGCAGGCCUAACACAUGCAAGUCGAGCGGAUGAAGGGAGCUUGCUCCUGGAUUCAGCGGCGGACGGGUGAGUAAUGCCUAGGAAUCUGCCUGGUAGUGGGGGAUAACGUCCGGAAACGGGCGCUAAUACCGCAUACGUCCUGAGGGAGAAAGUGGGGGAUCUUCGGACCUCACGCUAUCUGAUGAGCCUAGGUCGGAUUAGCUAGUUGGUGGGGUAAAGGCCUACCAAGGCGACGAUCCGUAACUGGUCUGAGAGGAUGAUCAGUCACACUGGAACUGAGACACGGUCCAGACUCCUACGGGAGGCAGCAGCGGGGAAUAUUGGACAAUGGGCGAAAGCCUGAUCCAGCCAUGCCGCGUGUGUGAAGAAGGUCUUCGGAUUGUAAAGCACUUUAAGUUGGGAGGAAGGGCAGUAAGUUAAUACCUUGCUGUUUUGACGUUACCAACAGAAUAAGCACCGGCUAACUUCGUG
Molecule: ribosomal RNA, 484 nt
Filed under: uncultured bacterium
Lineage: Bacteria
Description: partial 16S ribosomal RNA
Rfam family: Bacterial small subunit ribosomal RNA
Source: RNAcentral